CCCACCUGCCGCUUUUCUCAUUGUCUAUUUAGUUUUUAGUGUAGCUCGGCAUAUUACUUUUUGUUCCUGUGAAUAUUAAGUUCUCAGGAUGCUGAGGUGCCAUCGUCAUCCUGGUUUCUUUGCCUUGUAGAACCAUGUUUACUGAGCAAACCUUCACAUCCUGGUUCUUUUUAUUGCAGAACUACAAUUCAUAACAAUGCAGACAGAGUCUUAUUGCAGAAGGUGAUAGCACCCGAAGUCAUAAUUCAAGACUGGACUCUAUAGUUAGGGUUCAACAUCUUCUUAAAGACCUCAGACAGAGCUGAUGUAGUCAAGUGACCAUUACCCUUCAAAGCAGACCCUUGGCGGCUGAUGUGCUUUUCCAACAUUGCAGACAUUCGUUAAAGCACCUUUAGAAGCUCUUGACAAAGUCCUUCAGAGACCGUUUAAUAAACUACAAGACAAAAUCAGUAUCACUGCACCCUAUUCCCGGCUUACUUAUGACUCAAAAUAUUAUCCAGCUUGUUCACCCACCUUAUUCACGGGAUGUAGCUCCAAAGGGCUGUCUCCUAAAUCAAAUGCACUCUACAAAGACAUAGAUUGGCCAGCAUUGAUUUUUUUUUCUUUUUUCUUUUAAGAAGGUGAGGCAGCCUCUGAGAACAAAAGCAGAAGAGUUUGAAUUGGGUCAAGUGCACUAGCUCCUGGGUCACUACUGUGAAGCACUCAACUUUCACACCGAUGCUGACAGUCUGGUUUGUUUAAAAAAGAAGAGAAUGAGGAAAGCCAUCGCAGCUUCUUCUCACAGUUACGGUUUGCUCGUUGUCUUGAUAUGGAUCUUCAGUCUGGGUACAGACAUCACAGGGUAACUGCAACCCAGCACAUCUGCUCAGAGCAGGCGUUGCAAACAUUUCAGUUUUAAGGCCCAUGGGCGCUAACUUGACAUCUUUUCAAAUUAACAGGUCUCUUGCACAGUUCUGGAGGGAGCAGGUUGAAGCUUACAUACAAACGCAAGCUGAACCCUUGGAGAAAGUAGAAGUCUGGAUUCAGACAAAGCAAGAUUCAAAUCCCUGCUCUACUUAUUCCUAAGAAUGAGGCCCUGCUCAAGCGGUAGCGCGCUCGCCUGGCAUGCUUGCGGCCCGGGUUCCAUCCUCAGCACCACAUACAAACAAAGAUGCUGUGUCCGCCGAGAAAAAAAAAAAAACUAAAAAU
This 1188-nucleotide long non-coding RNA is filed under the name Marmota monax (woodchuck). The record is from RNAcentral. Lineage: Eukaryota; Metazoa; Chordata; Mammalia; Rodentia; Sciuridae.